Molecule: ribosomal RNA, 2903 nt
Filed under: Escherichia coli
Lineage: Bacteria; Pseudomonadati; Pseudomonadota; Gammaproteobacteria; Enterobacterales; Enterobacteriaceae
Description: 23S ribosomal RNA
Rfam family: Bacterial large subunit ribosomal RNA
Source: RNAcentral
UUAAGCGACUAAGCGUACACGGUGGAUGCCCUGGCAGUCAGAGGCGAUGAAGGACGUGCUAAUCUGCGAUAAGCGUCGGUAAGGUGAUAUGAACCGUUAUAACCGGCGAUUUCCGAAUGGGGAAACCCAGUGUGUUUCGACACACUAUCAUUAACUGAAUCCAUAGGUUAAUGAGGCGAACCGGGGGAACUGAAACAUCUAAGUACCCCGAGGAAAAGAAAUCAACCGAGAUUCCCCCAGUAGCGGCGAGCGAACGGGGAGGAGCCCAGAGCCUGAAUCAGUGUGUGUGUUAGUGGAAGCGUCUGGAAAGGCGCGCGAUACAGGGUGACAGCCCCGUACACAAAAAUGCACAUGCUGUGAGCUCGAUGAGUAGGGCGGGACACGUGGUAUCCUGUCUGAAUAUGGGGGGACCAUCCUCCAAGGCUAAAUACUCCUGACUGACCGAUAGUGAACCAGUACCGUGAGGGAAAGGCGAAAAGAACCCCGGCGAGGGGAGUGAAAAAGAACCUGAAACCGUGUACGUACAAGCAGUGGGAGCACGCUUAGGCGUGUGACUGCGUACCUUUUGUAUAAUGGGUCAGCGACUUAUAUUCUGUAGCAAGGUUAACCGAAUAGGGGAGCCGAAGGGAAACCGAGUCUUAACUGGGCGUUAAGUUGCAGGGUAUAGACCCGAAACCCGGUGAUCUAGCCAUGGGCAGGUUGAAGGUUGGGUAACACUAACUGGAGGACCGAACCGACUAAUGUUGAAAAAUUAGCGGAUGACUUGUGGCUGGGGGUGAAAGGCCAAUCAAACCGGGAGAUAGCUGGUUCUCCCCGAAAGCUAUUUAGGUAGCGCCUCGUGAAUUCAUCUCCGGGGGUAGAGCACUGUUUCGGCAAGGGGGUCAUCCCGACUUACCAACCCGAUGCAAACUGCGAAUACCGGAGAAUGUUAUCACGGGAGACACACGGCGGGUGCUAACGUCCGUCGUGAAGAGGGAAACAACCCAGACCGCCAGCUAAGGUCCCAAAGUCAUGGUUAAGUGGGAAACGAUGUGGGAAGGCCCAGACAGCCAGGAUGUUGGCUUAGAAGCAGCCAUCAUUUAAAGAAAGCGUAAUAGCUCACUGGUCGAGUCGGCCUGCGCGGAAGAUGUAACGGGGCUAAACCAUGCACCGAAGCUGCGGCAGCGACGCUGAUGCGUUGUUGGGUAGGGGAGCGUUCUGUAAGCCUGCGAAGGUGUGCUGUGAGGCAUGCUGGAGGUAUCAGAAGUGCGAAUGCUGACAUAAGUAACGAUAAAGCGGGUGAAAAGCCCGCUCGCCGGAAGACCAAGGGUUCCUGUCCAACGUUAAUCGGGGCAGGGUGAGUCGACCCCUAAGGCGAGGCCGAAAGGCGUAGUCGAUGGGAAACAGGUUAAUAUUCCUGUACUUGGUGUUACUGCGAAGGGGGGACGGAGAAGGCUAUGUUGGCCGGGCGACGGUUGUCCCGGUUUAAGCGUGUAGGCUGGUUUUCCAGGCAAAUCCGGAAAAUCAAGGCUGAGGCGUGAUGACGAGGCACUACGGUGCUGAAGCAACAAAUGCCCUGCUUCCAGGAAAAGCCUCUAAGCAUCAGGUAACAUCAAAUCGUACCCCAAACCGACACAGGUGGUCAGGUAGAGAAUACCAAGGCGCUUGAGAGAACUCGGGUGAAGGAACUAGGCAAAAUGGUGCCGUAACUUCGGGAGAAGGCACGCUGAUAUGUAGGUGAAGUCCCUUGCGGAUGGAGCUGAAAUCAGUCGAAGAUACCAGCUGGCUGCAACUGUUUAUUAAAAACACAGCACUGUGCAAACACGAAAGUGGACGUAUACGGUGUGACGCCUGCCCGGUGCCGGAAGGUUAAUUGAUGGGGUUAGCCGCAAGGCGAAGCUCUUGAUCGAAGCCCGGUAAACGGCGGCCGUAACUAUAACGGUCCUAAGGUAGCGAAAUUCCUUGUCGGGUAAGUUCCGACCUGCACGAAUGGCGUAAUGAUGGCCAGGCUGUCUCCACCCGAGACUCAGUGAAAUUGAACUCGCUGUGAAGAUGCAGUGUACCCGCGGCAAGACGGAAAGACCCCGUGAACCUUUACUAUAGCUUGACACUGAACAUUGAGCCUUGAUGUGUAGGAUAGGUGGGAGGCUUUGAAGUGUGGACGCCAGUCUGCAUGGAGCCGACCUUGAAAUACCACCCUUUAAUGUUUGAUGUUCUAACGUUGACCCGUAAUCCGGGUUGCGGACAGUGUCUGGUGGGUAGUUUGACUGGGGCGGUCUCCUCCUAAAGAGUAACGGAGGAGCACGAAGGUUGGCUAAUCCUGGUCGGACAUCAGGAGGUUAGUGCAAUGGCAUAAGCCAGCUUGACUGCGAGCGUGACGGCGCGAGCAGGUGCGAAAGCAGGUCAUAGUGAUCCGGUGGUUCUGAAUGGAAGGGCCAUCGCUCAACGGAUAAAAGGUACUCCGGGGAUAACAGGCUGAUACCGCCCAAGAGUUCAUAUCGACGGCGGUGUUUGGCACCUCGAUGUCGGCUCAUCACAUCCUGGGGCUGAAGUAGGUCCCAAGGGUAUGGCUGUUCGCCAUUUAAAGUGGUACGCGAGCUGGGUUUAGAACGUCGUGAGACAGUUCGGUCCCUAUCUGCCGUGGGCGCUGGAGAACUGAGGGGGGCUGCUCCUAGUACGAGAGGACCGGAGUGGACGCAUCACUGGUGUUCGGGUUGUCAUGCCAAUGGCACUGCCCGGUAGCUAAAUGCGGAAGAGAUAAGUGCUGAAAGCAUCUAAGCACGAAACUUGCCCCGAGAUGAGUUCUCCCUGACCCUUUAAGGGUCCUGAAGGAACGUUGAAGACGACGACGUUGAUAGGCCGGGUGUGUAAGCGCAGCGAUGCGUUGAGCUAACCGGUACUAAUGAACCGUGAGGCUUAACCUU